CGGUAACCGGAUAUUUGUGAUGGAUAUAUAAAGAUGAUAACUUUUGCCGAUUAGCCCGUUUUUUCAUGGAGAAGUAAAGAAAAAAGGCACACCGACCAACGGUCCGGAUUUGAUCUCAUUUGCAUGUGCAGCCUUUACAGUUGUUCAAACA
This is a long non-coding RNA of Hordeum vulgare subsp. vulgare (domesticated barley), 151 nucleotides long. RefSeq lists it as uncharacterized. The record is from RefSeq and is a predicted model, not a curated record. NCBI's taxonomy places the organism in Eukaryota, Viridiplantae, Streptophyta, Magnoliopsida, Poales, Poaceae. The transcript is spliced from 2 exons.